RNAcentral lists this long non-coding RNA (199 nucleotides) under Lathyrus oleraceus (garden pea). RNAcentral describes it as "Pisum sativum (pea) long non-coding RNA (PSAT_LNC005696)". The record is from RNAcentral. Lineage: Eukaryota; Viridiplantae; Streptophyta; Magnoliopsida; Fabales; Fabaceae.
CUCAAUCUAGCGGGAUGCAAAUAUUUUUUUUUUAUGUCUCUAACUUUUGCCUGGAUCGCCCUUUCGGGUUUUCCACCGAGACGCUCAUUUUUGCCUAAGCCGCCCUUUCGGGUUUUCAACUUGGCGAGCUAUUCUGUUUUUCUUUUAUACUCUUUUUUUUUUUUUAGGAAAAGUAUUUCUUGACUGCAUCUGAAUUCAC